Molecule: unclassified non-coding RNA, 572 nt
Filed under: Aspergillus tabacinus
Lineage: Eukaryota; Fungi; Ascomycota; Eurotiomycetes; Eurotiales; Aspergillaceae
Description: sequence contains 18S rRNA gene, ITS1, 5.8S rRNA gene, ITS2, 28S rRNA gene
Rfam family: 5.8S ribosomal RNA (bases 200-353)
Source: RNAcentral
UCGUAACAAGGUUUCCGUAGGUGAACCUGCGGAAGGAUCAUUACUGAGUGCGGGCUGCCUUCGGGCGCCCAACCUCCCACCCGUGACUACCUAACACUGUUGCUUCGGCGGGGAGCCCUCUCGGGGGCGAGCCGCCGGGGACUACUGAACUUCAUGCCUGAGAGUGAUGCAGUCUGAGUCUGAAUAUAAAAUCAGUCAAAACUUUCAACAAUGGAUCUCUUGGUUCCGGCAUCGAUGAAGAACGCAGCGAACUGCGAUAAGUAAUGUGAAUUGCAGAAUUCAGUGAAUCAUCGAGUCUUUGAACGCACAUUGCGCCCCCUGGCAUUCCGGGGGGCAUGCCUGUCCGAGCGUCAUUGCUGCCCAUCAAGCCCGGCUUGUGUGUUGGGUCGUCGUCCCCCCCGGGGGACGGGCCCGAAAGGCAGCGGCGGCACCGUGUCCGGUCCUCGAGCGUAUGGGGCUUUGUCACCCGCUCGAUUUAGGGCCGGCCGGGCGCCAGCCGACGUCCAACCAUUUUUCUUCAGGUUGACCUCGGAUCAGGUAGGGAUACCCGCUGAACUUAAGCAUAUCAAUAA